UCCGUAUGUCUAGAGACUGGGUGUGUUGUGAUGAUGUCAUAGUUCCGUAUGUCUAGAGACUGGGUGUGUUGUGGUGAUGUCAUAGUUCCAUAUGUCUAGAGACUGGGUGUGUUGUGAUGAUGUCAUAGUUCCAUAUGUCUAGAGACUGGGUGUGUUGUGAUGAUGUCAUAGUUCCGUAUGUCUAGAGACUGGGUGUGUUGUAUUGAUGUCAUAGUUCCGUAUGUCUAGAGACUGGGUGUGUUGUGAUGAUGUCAUAGUUCCGUAUGUCUAGAGACUGGGUGUGUUGUGAUGAUGUCAUAGUUCCGUAUGUCUAGAGACUGGGUGUGUUGUGAUGAUGUCAUAGUUCCAUAUGUCUAGAGACUGGGUGUGUUGUGAUGAUGUCAUAGUUCCGUAUGUCUAGAGACUGGGUGUGUUGUAUUGAUGUCAUAGUUCCGUAUGUCUAGAGACUGGGUGUGUUGUGAUGAUGUCAUAGUUCCGUAUGUCUAGAGACUGGGUGUGUUGUGGUGAUGUCAUAGUUCCAUAUGUCUAGAGACUGGGUGUGUUGUGGUGAUGUCAUAGUUCUGUAUGUCUAGAGACUGGGUGUGUUGUGAUGAUGUCAUAGUUCCGUAUGUCUAGAGACUGGGUGUGUUGUAUUGAUGUCAUAGUUCCGUAUGUCUAGAGACUGGGUGUGUUGUGGUGAUGUCAUAGUUCCGUAUGUCUAGAGACUGGGUGUGUUGUGGUGAUGUCAUAGUUCCGUAUGUCUAGAGACUGGGUGUGUUGUGGUGAUGUCAUAGUUCCAUAUGUCUAGAGACUGGGUGUGUUGUGGUGAUGUCAUAGUUCCGUAUGUCUAGAGACUGGGUGUGUUGUGGUGAUGUCAUAGUUCCAUAUGUCUAGAGACUGGGUGUGUUGUGGUGAUGUCAUAGUUCCGUAUGUCUAGAGACUGGGUGUGUUGUGGUGAUGUCAUAGUUCCGUAUGUCUAGAGACUGGGUGUGUUGUAUUGAUGUCAUAGUUCCAUAUGUCAAGAGACUGGGUGUGUUGUGAUGAUGUCAUAGUUCCGUAUGUCUAGAGACUGGGUGUGUUGUGGUGAUGUCAUAGUUCCGUAUGUCUAGAGACUGGGUGUGUUGUAUUGAUGUCAUAGUUCCGUAUGUCUAGAGACUGGGUGUGUUGUGGUGAUGUCAUAGUUCCGUAUGUCUAGAGACUGGGUGUGUUGUCUUGAUGUCAUAGUUCCGUAUGUCUAGAGACUGGGUGUGUUGUCUUGAUGUCAUAGUUCCAUAUGUCUAGAGACUGGGUGUGUUGUGAUGAUGUCAUAGUUCCGUAUGUCUAGAGACUGGGUGUGUUGUGGUGAUGUCAUAGUUCCGUAUGUCUAGAGACUGGGUGUGUUGUGAUGAUGUCAUAGUUCCGUAUGUCUAGAGACUGGGUGUGUUGUGAUGAUGUCAUAGUUCCGUAUGUCUAGAGACUGGGUGUGUUGUGAUGAUGUCAUAGUUCCAUAUGUCAAGAGACUGGGUGUGUUGUGAUGAUGUCAUAGUUCCAUAUGUCUAGAGACUGGGUGUGUUGUGGUGAUGUCAUAGUUCCAUAUGUCAAGAGACUGGGUGUGUUGUGAUGAUGUCAUAGUUCCGUAUGUCUAGAGACUGGGUGUGUUGUGGUGAUGUCAUAGUUCCGUAUGUCUAGAGACUGGGUGUGUUGUGGUGAUGUCAUAGUUCCAUAUGUCUAGAGACUGGGUGUGUUGUGGUGAUGUCAUAGUUCCAUAUGUCUAGAGACUGGGUGUGUUGUGGUGAUGUCAUAGUUCCAUAUGUCUAGAGACUGGGUGUGUUGUGGUGAUGUCAUAGUUCCGUAUGUCUAGAGACUGGGUGUGUUGUGGUGAUGUCAUAGUUCCGUAUGUCUAGAGACUGGGUGUGUUGUAUUGAUGUCAUAGUUCCGUAUGUCUAGAGACUGGGUGUGUUGUGGUGAUGUCAUAGUUCCAUAUGUCUAGAGACUGGGUGUGUUGUGGUGAUGUCAUAGUUCCGUAUGUCUAGAGACUGGGUGUGUUGUGGUGAUGUCAUAAUUACGUAUGUCUAGAGACUGGGUGUGUUGUAUUGAUGUCAUAGUUCCGUAUGUCAAGAGACUGGGUGUGUUGUGGUGAAGUCAUAGUUCCGUAUGUCUAGAGACUGGGUGUGUUGUAGUGAUGUCAUAGUUCCGUAUAUCUAGAGACUGGUCGUGUUGCGGUGACGUGGUGCUGGUGUGUCCAGGAACUGGUUAUGCUCUCAGUUUAAUUGCUGUGGCCCUCUGGGAGGUCUGCUCAUGCUGUUCACACUCAGAGUGUCUUUCCAUGUCAGAGACCGACAGGAUACACUUUCGAGUUAUUGAGGAUAAAAAUAAAACCUUUGACCUUGACUGGAGAGAAAUAGAGGAACACAGGAAGAGAGGGAGAGAGAGAAAAGGGGGGAAAACAGAAAGAGAGAUGGUGACUGAUAGGUGGUAAGGAGUGGUGGUAAGGAGAGGUGCUAAUCAGAGGUGGUAAGGAUAGGUGCUAAUCAGAGGUGGUAAGGAGAGGUGCUAAUCAGAGGUGGUAAGGAUAGGUGCUAAUCAGAGGUGGUAAGGAUAGGUGCUAAUCAGAGGUGGUAAGGAGAGGUGCUAAUCAGAGGUGGUAAGGAGAGGUGCUAAUCAGAGGUGGUAAGGAGAGGUGCUAAUCAGAGGUGGUAAGGAGAGGUGCUAAUCAGAGGUGGUAAGGAUAGGUGCUAAUCAGAGGUGGUAAGGAGAGGUGCUAAUCAGAGGUGGUAAGGAUAGGUGCUAAUCAGAGGUGGUAAGGAUAGGUGCUAAUCAGAGGUGGUAAGGAGAGGUGCUAAUCAGAGGUGGUAAGGAUAGGUGCUAAUCAGAGGUGGUAAGGAUAGGUGCUAAUCAGAGGUGGUAAGGAUAGGUGCUAAUCAGAGGUGGUAAGGAGAGGUGCUAAUCUGAGGUGGUAAGGAUAGGUGCUAGUCAGAGGUGGUAAGGAUAGGUGCUAAUCAGAGGUGGUAAGGAGAGGUGGUAAGGAGAGGUGCUAAUCAGAGGUGGUAAGGAGAGGUGGUAAGGAGAGGUGCUAAUCAGAGGUGGUAAGGAGAGGUGGUAAGGAGAGGUGCUAAUCAGAGGUGGUAAGGAUAGGUGCUAAUCAGAGGUGGUAAGGAGAGGUGCUAAUCAGAGGUGGUAAGGAUAGGUGCUAAUCAGAGGUGGUAAGGAGAGGUGCUAAUCAGAGGUGGUAAGGAUAGGUGCUAAUCAGAGGUGGUAAGGAGAGGUGCUAAUCAGAGGUGGUAAGGAGAGGUGGUAAGGAGAGGUGCUAAUCAGAGGUGGUAAGGAGAGGUGCUAAUCAGAGGUGGUAAGGAUAGGUGCUAAUCAGAGGUGGUAAGGAGAGGUGCUAAUCAGAGGUGGUAAGGAGAGGUGCUAAUCAGAGGUGGUAAGGAUAGGUGCUAAUCAGAGGUGGUAAGGAGAGGUGCUAAUCAGAGGUGGUAAGGAUAGGUGCUAAUCAGAGGUGGCAAGGAGAGUGGUAAGGAGAGGUGGUAAAGAGAGGUGGUAGAGAGAGGUGGUAAAGAGAGGUGGUAAGGAGAGAUGGUAAGGAGAGGUGGUAAGGAGAGAAAGUAAAGCAAGAUGUAAGGAGAUGUUGUAAAGAGGGGUGGUAAGGAGAGGUGGUAAGGAGAGAAAGUAAAGAAAGAUGUUAGGAGAGGUUGUAAAGAGGGGUGGUAAGGAGAGGUGGUAAGGAGAGAAAGUAAAGAAAGAUUUAAGGAGAGGUUGUAAAGAGGGGUGGUAAGGAGAGAUGGUAAGGAGGGGUGGUAAAGAGGGGUGGUAAGGAGAGGUGGUAAAGAGGAGUGGUAAGGAGAGUGGGUAAAGAGAGGUGGUAAAGAGAGUUGGUAAGGAGAGCUGGUAAGGAGAGAAAGUAAGGAGAGAUAGUAAAGAAUGAUGUAAGGAGAGGUUGUAAAGAGGGGUGGUAAGGAGAGGUGGUAAGGAGAGGUGGUAAGGAGAGGUGGUAAGGAGAGA
Molecule: long non-coding RNA, 3960 nt
Organism: Oncorhynchus keta (chum salmon)
Lineage: Eukaryota; Metazoa; Chordata; Actinopteri; Salmoniformes; Salmonidae
Exons: 4
Source: RefSeq, a predicted model, not a curated record